This 1432-nucleotide ribosomal RNA is filed under the name uncultured organism. RNAcentral describes it as "16S ribosomal RNA". It matches the Rfam family "Bacterial small subunit ribosomal RNA". The record is from RNAcentral.
GCUUAACACAUGCAAGUCGAACGGAAAGGCCCUGCUUUUGUGGGGUGCUCGAGUGGCGAACGGGUGAGUAACACGUGAGUAACCUGCCCUUGACUUUGGGAUAACUUCAGGAAACUGGGGCUAAUACCGGAUAGGAGCUCCUGCUGCAUGGUGGGGGUUGGAAAGUUUCGGCGGUUGGGGAUGGACUCGCGGCUUAUCAGCUUGUUGGUGGGGUAGUGGCUUACCAAGGCUUUGACGGGUAGCCGGCCUGAGAGGGUGACCGGCCACAUUGGGACUGAGAUACGGCCCAGACUCCUACGGGAGGCAGCAGUGGGGAAUAUUGCACAAUGGGCGGAAGCCUGAUGCAGCAACGCCGCGUGCGGGAUGACGGCCUUCGGGUUGUAAACCGCUUUCGCCUGUGACGAAGCGUGAGUGACGGUAAUGGGUAAAGAAGCACCGGCUAACUACGUGCCAGCAGCCGCGGUGAUACGUAGGGUGCGAGCGUUGUCCAGAUUUAUUGGGCGUAAAGGGCUCGUAGGUGGUUGAUCGCGUCGGAAGUGUAAUCUUGGGGCUUAACCCUGAGCGUGCUUUCGAUACGGGUUGACUUGAGGAAGGUAGGGGAGAAUGGAAUUCCUGGUGGAGCGGUGGAAUGCGCAGAUAUCAGGAGGAACACCAGUGGCGAAGGCGGUUCUCUGGGCCUUUCCUGACGCUGAGGAGCGAAAGCGUGGGGAGCGAACAGGCUUAGAUACCCUGGUAGUCCACGCUGUAAACGGUGGGUACUAGGUGUGGGGUCCAUUCCACGGGUUCCGUGCCGUAGCUAACGCUUUAAGUACCCCGCCUGGGGAGUACGGCCGCAAGGCUAAAACUCAAAGGAAUUGACGGGGCCCCGCACAAGCGGCGGAGCAUGCGGAUUAAUUCGAUGCAACGCGUAGAACCUUACCUGGGUUUGACAUGGAUCGGGAGUGCUCAGAGAUGGGUGUGCCUCUUUUGGGGUCGGUUCACAGGUGGUGCAUGGCUGUCGUCAGCUCGUGUCGUGAGAUGUUGGGUUAAGUCCCGCAACGAGCGCAACCCUUGUUCACUGUUGCCAGCACGUUAUGGUGGGGACUCAGUGGAGACCGCCGGGGUCAACUCGGAGGAAGGUGGGGAUGACGUCAAGUCAUCAUGCCCCUUAUGUCCAGGGCUUCACGCAUGCUACAAUGGCUGGUACAGAGAGUGGCGAGCCUGUGAGGGUGAGCGAAUCUCGGAAAGCCGGUCUCAGUUCGGAUUGGGGUCUGCAACUCGACCUCAUGAAGUCGGAGUCGCUAGUAAUCGCAGAUCAGCAACGCUGCGGUGAAUACGUUCCCGGGGCUUGUACACACCGCCCGUCAAGUCAUGAAAGUUGGUAACACCCGAAGCCGGUGGCCUAACCGUUGUGGGGGAGCCGUCGAAGGUGGGACUGGUGAUUAGGACUAAG